UUAAAAAAUAAUAAUAAUGCAGGUUUCUAGGCUUUCCUCCCAGAGCUUCCGAUUCUGCAAAUGUGAGAUGGAGCCCAGGAAUCUGAAUUUUAAAAAUACGAGCAGUGAUUCUGAUGCA
This 118-nucleotide microRNA precursor is filed under the name Mustela putorius furo (domestic ferret). RNAcentral describes it as "miRNA (ENSMPUG00000022387.1)". Lineage: Eukaryota; Metazoa; Chordata; Mammalia; Carnivora; Mustelidae. The record is from RNAcentral.